This 339-nucleotide long non-coding RNA is filed under the name Lotus japonicus. RNAcentral describes it as "long non-coding RNA (LJAP_LNC000116)". Lineage: Eukaryota; Viridiplantae; Streptophyta; Magnoliopsida; Fabales; Fabaceae. The record is from RNAcentral.
AGUAGCCUAGAAAUAGACAUCCUUGGGACCUGAAAUCAAGCAUAUGAGUGUGGAGAACGAAACAUGUUGGAUAUUACAGUGUGCUGGUGGAGGAAGAGGAAGAAAAGUGUGAGAGUGAGAAAUGAGUGAUGCAGUGAAAGCGAAAGAAGAAGAAGAAGAAGAACAUGAAAUGUUGGUGGUGGAAGAAGAAGAAGAAGAAGAGAAGAGGAAGGAGCGAAGGCGCAGGGUUUUGAGGGUGAAAUGGGUGGUGUCUAAGGUGCGCCACAUCUUUUGUUUUGGGUUGCAGUCACAACACACAAACAAGGAGGGUGAGAGUGUGAGACGAUCAUACACUUCAAC